AGAGUACGUGAAACCGCUUAGAGGUAAACGGGUGGAUCCGCAAAGUCGGCCCGGGGAAUUCAACUUGCCGUUUGGGCGGCGUACGUUGGGCAAGGGAUCCGUAAGGACCCUCCUGGCGUUCGGCUGCUAUCGGCGCGUGCACUUUCCUCGGGUAUAGCGCCACGACCGGUUUCGGGGCAGUCAGAAGCCAGUCGGGAAGGUAGCUUCCCCCUCGUGGGGAAGUGUUAUAGCCCGGCCAGGUCGGCUCGUCUCGAGACCGAGGAUUUGCCGCGCCUCACUUUGCCCGCGGCUCUCUUCCUGCGUUCGACUGGGGAAGCACUGCUUGCAGUUCUCCCCGACCGCGUGGGUUGAUUUCGGUCGGAAGCAAGGGGGCGCUUCGGGUCAGUGGCGAAUCGGUCGGUCCUCCACCCGAC
Molecule: ribosomal RNA, 413 nt
Filed under: Modiolus sp. OC53
Lineage: Eukaryota; Metazoa; Mollusca; Bivalvia; Mytilida; Modiolidae
Description: partial 28S ribosomal RNA
Source: RNAcentral